RNAcentral lists this ribosomal RNA (496 nucleotides) under uncultured bacterium. RNAcentral's name for it is "partial 16S ribosomal RNA". It matches the Rfam family "Bacterial small subunit ribosomal RNA", at positions 28 to 507 of the family's 1533-position model. The record is from RNAcentral.
GAUGAACGCUGGCGGCGUGCCUAAUACAUGCAAGUCGAGCGAACGGACGAGAAGCUUGCUUCUCUGAUGUUAGCGGCGGACGGGUGAGUAACACGUGGAUAACCUACCUAUAAGACUGGGAUAACUUCGGGAAACCGGAGCUAAUACCGGAUGAUAUUUUGAACCGCAUGGUUCAAAAGUGAAAGACGGUCUUGCUGUCACUUAUAGAUGGAUCCGCGCUGCAUUAGCUAGUUGGUAAGGUAACGGCUUACCAAGGCAACGAUGCAUAGCCGACCUGAGAGGGUGACCGGCCCCACGGGAACUGGGACACGGUCAGGACUCCUAGGGAGGGCAGAGGUGGGGAUUCUUCGCAAUGGGCGAAAGCCUGACGGAGCAACGCCGCGUGAGUGAUGAAGGUCUUCGGAUCGUAAAACUCUGUUAUUAGGGAAGAACAUAUGUGUAAGUAACUGUGCACAUCUUGACGGUACCUAAUCAGAAAGCCACGGCUAACUACGUG